RNAcentral lists this ribosomal RNA (493 nucleotides) under uncultured bacterium. Its description in RNAcentral is "partial 16S ribosomal RNA". It matches the Rfam family "Bacterial small subunit ribosomal RNA", at positions 29 to 507 of the family's 1533-position model. The record is from RNAcentral.
ACGCACGCUGGCGGCGUGCUUAACACAUGCAAGUCGAACGGUGAAGCGCCUUCCUUUUUGGUGGGUGUGGAUGAGUGGCGAACGGGUGAGUAACACGUGGGUAACCUGCCCCCUUCUUCUGGAUAACCGCAUGAAAGUGUGGCUAAUACGGGAUAUUCUGGGUCUGUCGCAUGAUGGGUCUGGGAAAGAUAUUGUUUCGGUGGGGGAUGGGCUCGCGGCCUAUCAGCUUGUUGGUGGGGUGAUGGCCUACCAAGGCGGUGACGGGUAGCCGGCCUGAGAGGGUGGACGGUCACACUGGGACUGAGACACGGCCCAGACUCCUACGGGAGGCAGCAGUGGGGAAUAUUGCACAAUGGGCGCAAGCCUGAUGCAGCGACGCCGCGUGAGGGAUGGAGGCCUUCGGGUUGUGAACCUCUUUCGCCAGUGAGGCAGGCCUGCCUCGUUUGUGGGUGGGUUGACGGUAGCUGGAUAAGAAGCGCCGGCUAACUACGUG